Carassius auratus (goldfish) is the source of this 354-nucleotide long non-coding RNA. RefSeq lists it as uncharacterized. Lineage: Eukaryota; Metazoa; Chordata; Actinopteri; Cypriniformes; Cyprinidae. The record is from RefSeq and is a predicted model, not a curated record. The transcript has 5 exons.
CUCUUCCUCACCAGCCAGUAACAUCGGCCUCGUCUUCUUCACCAGCCAGUAACAUCAUGAGUCAACAAGAGAAGUGUAAAAAAAUGUAUAGCAAUGAUCUUCAGUCAACCUCAUCUCUUGCUAGAAGCAGAGAGAAGAGAGUCCUAGCCUUGUCUACUUUGUGACAUUGUUGUCUAUCUUCUGUGAAGUCACCCCUGGUAUUUGUCACCAGAUCACACCAAGCUAAGCCAGAGACCAACAGCUGACCCUGGACUUGCCAAUGGGCACUUAACUUCUACCAGGCCAUAGGGAGGGUCUUCAUUUGGGUCUACCACCUUGCCAUCUGGACUAGCACCAAGGUGUGGAGCUCCCGGG